ACCCGCACAAGCGGUGGAUGAUGUGGUUUAAUUCGAUGCAACGCGAAAACCUUACCCACCUUUGACAUGUACGGAAUCCUUUAGAGAUAGAGGAGUGCUCGAAAGAGAGCCGUAACACAGGUGCUGCAUGGCUGUCGUCAGCUCGUGUCGUGAGAUGUUGGGUUAAGUCCCGCAACGAGCGCAACCCUUGUCAUUAGUUGCUACAUUCAGUUGGGCACUCUAAUGAGACUGCCGGUGACAAACCGGAGGAAGGUGGGGAUGACGUCAAGUCCUCAUGGCCCUUAUAGGUGGGGCUACACACGUCAUACAAUGGAUGGUACAAAGGGUCGCCAACCCGCGAGGGGGAGCCAAUCCCAUAAAGCCAUUCGUAGUCCGGAUCGCAGUCUGCAACUCGACUGCGUGAAGUCGGAAUCGCUAGUAAUCGUGGAUCAGAAUGUCACGGUGAAUACGUUCCCGGGUCUU
This 462-nucleotide ribosomal RNA is filed under the name uncultured Acidovorax sp. RNAcentral describes it as "bacterial SSU rRNA". It matches the Rfam family "Bacterial small subunit ribosomal RNA", at positions 919 to 1382 of the family's 1533-position model. The record is from RNAcentral. Lineage: Bacteria; Pseudomonadati; Pseudomonadota; Betaproteobacteria; Burkholderiales; Comamonadaceae.